GAUGAACGCUGGCGGCGUGCCUAAUACAUGCAAGUCGAGCGAACGGACGCGAAGCUUGCUUCUCUGAUGUUAGCGGCGGACGGGUGAGUAACACGUGUAUAACCUACCUAUAAGACUGGUAUAACUUCGGGAAACCGUAUCUAAUACCGGAUAAUAUUUUGCACCGCAUGGUUCAAAAGUGAAAGACGGUCUUGCUGUCACUUAUAGAUGCAUCUGCGCUGCAUUAGCUAGUUGGUAAGGUAACGGCUUACCAAGGCAACGAUGCAUAGCCGACCUGAGAGGGUGAUCGGCCACACUGGAACUGAGACACGGUCCAGACUCCUACGGGAGGCAGCAGUAGGGAAUCUUCCGCAAUGGGCGAAAGCCUGACGGAGCAACGCCGCGUGAGUGAUGAAGGUCUUCGGAUCGUAAAACUCUGUUAUUAGGGAAGAACAUAUGUGUAAGUAACUGUGCACAUCUUGACGGUACCUAAUCAGAAAGCCACGGCUAACUACGUG
Molecule: ribosomal RNA, 497 nt
Filed under: uncultured bacterium
Lineage: Bacteria
Description: partial 16S ribosomal RNA
Rfam family: Bacterial small subunit ribosomal RNA
Source: RNAcentral